Molecule: long non-coding RNA, 754 nt
Organism: Macadamia integrifolia
Lineage: Eukaryota; Viridiplantae; Streptophyta; Magnoliopsida; Proteales; Proteaceae
Exons: 3
Source: RefSeq, a predicted model, not a curated record
AGGCUCAUCGAAGCGGACGAAGCCCCUGACUCGAGGAUUGCAGGGGAGUACAAGCCUACAAGGUGGAAGACACGGAGGCGGUGCUUAAGAUUGGGUUGGCUUGCUGCCAUCCUGACCCUGACGGUAAAUCGAUGGAGUGUUAUGCUUAUGUUUUACUUUUUAUUCUUUGUCAAAUGUGUGCCUAAUUACAUAGCUCGAUUUUUGCAGAAAACGCAUUUGUCUAGUUUCCGCAAAUCUUAUUUGAAGACAUCCUUUGUUACAGUCCAAAAACUGAUGCAUGUGAAGAAUGAUGCUAGAUGAUGUUGAAAGAAACCAGGCAAAGAUUGAUGCUAUAGAGUAUAGAGGCAUAUGAAUCUAUAUUAAGCUGCAAAAGCCUUGUACCAUGGCUUCAGCAAGCAAUGACCUCGGGACUUCAUAGACUUGCAUCGUUGAUCUCCCCGAUUUGAGACCCCUGCAACCUUCAAGUUCUCUCUCUACAAAUUUCAGCUCUUUCUCUGGUACUCCAGCCUCCAGGACCCAGGUAUAUCCUUUCAGUCAAUUUUAUCCUUCCAUAUUUUAUUUUUGAAUCUUAUUUAUGUUUUUUCAACUUCUUCAAAUAUGAGUGUUUGAAUCAAAUUUCAGCAUGCAAUAGUGUAUUAUAUAGGGCUAAUUUAAAGAGGUCAUUUUUGAAUUUGUAAUGCUUGGUAUUCUUAUUUUAUUAAUAUCUUAUUUAUGUUUUCUUAUUAAUUAUAGAAAUGCCCAUCAAUAUAGAAGA